RNAcentral lists this non-coding RNA (176 nucleotides) under Labrenzia sp. Its description in RNAcentral is "FMN sequence". It matches the Rfam family "FMN riboswitch aptamer (RFN element)". From Rfam's summary of the family: The RFN element is a highly conserved domain that is found frequently in the 5'-untranslated regions of prokaryotic mRNAs that encode for flavin mononucleotide (FMN) biosynthesis and transport proteins. The record is from RNAcentral. Lineage: Bacteria; Pseudomonadati; Pseudomonadota; Alphaproteobacteria; Hyphomicrobiales; Stappiaceae.
AACAGUUCUCGGGGCGGGGUGAGAGUCCCCACCGGCGGUAUCAGGGAGACCUGGAGCCCGCGAGCGCCUUGCUGAUGGUUUCAGCAAGGGUCAGCAGAUCCGGUGAGAAGCCGGAGCCGACGGUUAUGGCAACGUUUUGCGGCGAUGUCUGAAAGUCCGGAUGAGAGAGAACUUGG